GCCGACGUGCGAAACCGUAAAAAAAACAGUAUAAAAGUGGCGAAUAAAGAACGCUUUACAGAACUGCUUCACACGAGGAUAAUGGAUAACCUUGUCAAGCUAGGCCACCCAGCCAUCUUCAUCGUAAUCGGGGACUAAACGCACGACCAGGGUGCCGAUCCUUUACGCCAUCCUCGCUAAGUCGACGAUGAACACCGGCCUAAUGUGUUUUGGUGGAAGGAUUAAGUCAUAUCACUUCGACCAUAGAAAGAAGCUGGCAAUGAAUGGCGGUUGGCAAGGUGGACGUAAAAAAGGCAGACUUGUUGGAUGACAUUGAUUGGGAAUGGGAUGGACUAAGCAAGGUUCUUAAUGGAUCUUUGGGAGACCAAUGCCAUGGCACAGUUUGAGGCAUUAGUAAAUAAUCAACUGAAGCGGAGCACCUCAUACAAUCUGCAGAACUAAAAGCGCGUGCUAGAGCGUCAUUGUAAGCAAAAAGAACAGGAGAUGGUGAAGAAGACAGUAGAACAGGAUACGGCUGACGACGGAGAAAGGCGUCAAGCUCAUCGUAAUUGGUCGCGAACAUGAACGAACCUGUGCGAUUACCACACCAAGUCGACGGGGAGACCGGCUGAAUGUGUUUUGGUACUAGACGAACAAUAAUGAGGCCAUAUUAAACCAAUUUUGGACACCAGCGAACACAAGAGCCACCCUGCUUAGUUCAGAAAUACGUCGGUCAAGUACACCAAUCUAGAGGGCGGACCAUAGGCAAAGAAAGGAGCCAAUAAAGAGGAAGCUUAGAUUGCUGAAGGGACAGAUUCGGCCAAGGAUCCGGAUUCCCAUUCUGAGCACCACAUUAAGAGUGGCAUGCUGCACGCCGGAAACCAAUCGAAGGAGGAGGAGCUGCAGUCGCUAAGGCUUUCCCUUGACUAAGGGACCAGAUCGCAAACAAGCUAGGCAAGCAACAGCGGAUGGAGCUCAAAAGGCUACUGGUUGGCGGACGGAACAGAACUGGCGGUAGUAGCGGGCUUUCUAUACAAAUUUGAUGGCGUGAAGUGACUGGACUGGCCGUCGGAGCAGCUUGAGAAUCGUCACAUGGCCGCACCGCUUUCAAAAAAGGGAAGGAAUUCGAAGCAGAGUCGCGGCCAGCAGAAGGCACAGAUUUAACAUGGACCACAUUGGGGCGGGAAUCAUUUAAGUAGAAAUGCAAAGGCUUAACUUCAAAAAGAAAUUAUUUUGUGGGCUUAUCUUAAUAAAAACUUGUAUCUAAAAUUUUGGCCAAAA
Molecule: small RNA, 1260 nt
Filed under: Drosophila ananassae
Lineage: Eukaryota; Metazoa; Arthropoda; Insecta; Diptera; Drosophilidae
Description: GF26308
Source: RNAcentral